GUCGCAAGACCAAAGUGGGGGACCUUCGGGCCUCAUGCCAUCAGAUGUGCCCAGAUGGGAUUAGCUAGUAGGUGGGGUAACGGCUCACCUAGGCGACGAUCCCUAGCUGGUCUGAGAGGAUGACCAGCCACACUGGAACUGAGACACGGUCCAGACUCCUACGGGAGGCAGCAGUGGGGAAUAUUGCACAAUGGGCGCAAGCCUGAUGCAGCCAUGCCGCGUGUGUGAAGAAGGCCUUCGGGUUGUAAAGCACUUUCAGCGGGGAGGAAGGCGUUAAGGUUAAUAACCUUGGCGAUUGACGUUACCCGCAGAAGAAGCACCGGCUAACUCCGUGCCAGCAGCCGCGGUAAUACGGAGGGUGCAAGCGUUAAUCGGAAUUACUGGGCGUAAAGCGCACGCAGGCGGUCUGUCAAGUCGGAUGUGAAAUCCCCGGGCUCAACCUGGGAACUGCAUUCGAAACUGGCAGGCUAGAGUCUUGUAGAGGGGGGUAGAAUUCCAGGUGUAGCGGUGAAAUGCGUAGAGAUCUGGAGGAAUACCGGUGGCGAAGGCGGCCCCCUGGACAAAGACUGACGCUCAGGUGCGAAAGCGUGGGGAGCA
This 597-nucleotide ribosomal RNA is filed under the name Klebsiella quasipneumoniae subsp. similipneumoniae. Its description in RNAcentral is "bacterial SSU rRNA". It matches the Rfam family "Bacterial small subunit ribosomal RNA", at positions 192 to 770 of the family's 1533-position model. The record is from RNAcentral. Lineage: Bacteria; Pseudomonadati; Pseudomonadota; Gammaproteobacteria; Enterobacterales; Enterobacteriaceae.